GCUGACUCCUCGUGUGGCGUCAUCUUGGCUAAUCCCCCAGGAUCGAAAGAUAGCAAGGGUAACUGGGCUCUGGCGGGUGCACGAGGGGUCCUUUUU
Molecule: signal recognition particle RNA, 96 nt
Filed under: Micrococcales bacterium
Lineage: Bacteria; Bacillati; Actinomycetota; Actinomycetes; Micrococcales
Also listed under: 1 other name
Description: signal recognition particle sRNA small type
Rfam family: Bacterial small signal recognition particle RNA
About the family: The signal recognition particle (SRP) is a universally conserved ribonucleoprotein involved in the co-translational targeting of proteins to membranes. Archaeal SRP consists of a 7S RNA and homologues of the eukaryotic SRP19 and SRP54 proteins.
Source: RNAcentral